ACCCGCCCCCUUUGCCGGAACCGUCGCAUCUUCCAACGGAAAUCUAGUUGCCAAACCGGGUGGGAAUGCGUCAUUGGUACGUAAUCUGAGAGGCCCUGCAUCUCAUAUCACGCCAUGGUGCCCCUCCCCCCCCCGCGUCACAUGACCGGCUCGGUCCCACCCUCGAAGACCACAGAACGUGACGCUUUGGUUGUCACGUGUCUCGGCGCUGUAGACUCCAUCUCUGGAAUACCCUUCCUCCCUACGAAGUCCUCGGCACCCCGGCGCCCAAACUACGCCCCUCCAGCCCCCACGAGGCGGGGAGGGGUCUGCUGACUAUCCUCAGAGACCCUUUGAGGCAGUGGGUGGCAAUUGACAUGAAGUUUCAAGCAAAGGAAGAAUGACCUCUCUCUAGUAUGCCCUGGUAAGGAAAUCUAGAGUCCUGUGACCGAGUUGCGCGGAGUUCUGGAAAGUCACUUCUUGUCUCUGGGCUUCAGUCUCCCAUCUGUACAAUGGGUGGCAUAGAGGGAUGGGGAGAUAAUCUCUAUGGAUAUUCCCUGCUCUAAAGUUCAUUGAUUAUGAGGUUGGAAACUGUAAAAUAUGCUCUGAUUCUACUGGAAGGGCUUUGAUCCUUCUCUUCCCUUCAGAACCCAGCCCACCUGGGGCUGGGAAUGAAGGAGUGAAGAUGGUGCUGCACUAAUCAACUGACAGGAGGAAUGAAGCAUUGGAGAAUUUUUCAGGAGGCCAAGCCUUGUCCCAUGGGGUCCCCUGGAGAUCAUGAGGAAGGAUUUCUCCACUCUUAGGUCUUCUGUGUCAUCCUCUGCCUCCCUUCCCUCCCCUUCCCUCUCUCUCUCUCUUUCUCUCUCUCUCUCUCUCUCUCUCUCUCUCAGUGCGACAGUGGAAGGGCUUUUGGACACCUGACUCCUAGUCCUGCAUGUGAUCUGGGAUAACUCAUUGCUCCUCUCUGGGACUUAAUUUCUCCAUUUGACAAAUUGGUCUGGUAAUUUUUGUCUUGCCUAAGGUAAGAAUUGAACAGUUAGAAAGACUGUUAGGUUAGAAAGACUAUGGAGGGGUCUUGUGAACUGUUGAGAGUUGCCCCUUUGUGGGGUUUUAUUUUUUUAAGUUUAUUUAUGUAUUUUGAGAGAGAGAGAGCAGGGGAUGAGCAGAGAGAGAAAGAAUCCCAAGCAGGUUCCACACUGUCAGCAUGGAGCCUGAUGUAGGGCUCAAACUCAUGAACUGUGAGAUCAUGACCUAAGCUGAAAUCCAGAAUCAGACGCUUAGGCUGCCUGGGUGGCUCAGUCGGUUAAGCAUCCGACUUCGGCGCAGGUCAUGAUCUCACUGUCCGUGAGUUUGAGCCCCACGUUGGGUUCUGUGCUGACAGCUCAGAGCCUAGAGCCUGUUUCAGAUUCUGUGUCUCCCUCUCUCUCUGCCCCUCCCCACUCAUGUUCUGUCUCUCUCUCUCUCUCAAUAAUAAAUAAACACUAAAAAAUUGAAAAAAAAAAAAAAGAACCAGACGCUUAACCAACUGAGCCACCCAGGUGCCCCUCCUCUGUGGGCUUUUAUGACCACAGGUUCCAGCUCUUUCUAGGACCACCAGUCCCACCUGUCUGUUUGUUAGCCUCUUGAUGGUUUGCCUUCUUGGUUCCUGCUGUGAUCUGUAGUUGUUGGUGCCUUUGUUAAACUUCCCAGGAUUGUGAUACUCAUUAUUUUAUUUGUGGUCUCUGGGUGGGAUCACAGGGCUUUGGAAUGGUGACUUAAGGUCACAGGAGGCUGGGCUCAGAGCCUCAUGGAGUGGAAUGUGGAGGGGGUGGGGAGCAGGGGCCAUAUAGGGAAAAUAGCUCUGGGGUUGGAACUCUCUAAAGCUGAGCCUUUAUCUCUAUUUCAUGGUUUUUGGGUUAUUCCUUCUGGGCCCUCUGAACAGUCUUUUUGUUUUGUUUAUUUUUGAGAGACAAGAGAGAGAGCAUGAGCAGAUGAGGGGCAGAGAAAGAGGGAGACACAGAAUCUGACGCAGGCUCCAGGCUCUGAGCUGUCAGCACAGAGCCCGACAUGGGGCUCGAACUCACGGACCACGAGAUCAUGACCUGAGCUGAAGUCAGAUGCUUAACCGACUGAACCACCCAGGGGCCCCUGAACAGUCUUGAAGUGUGUGUUAAGUAUAUGGGGUCUUGGCUGUGUAGGUAUUAGGGAUGUGUGUGUUCCUUCCAGUCUGUGUGAAGGUCAGUCCCUGCCCGGUCCUGAGGCGUGGCAGACUGUCUUGUCCCCUCCACCUGCAGGUCCAUCCUACCAACAUCCUACCUACACUGAAGCCAGAUGACCUGGGCUGGAAUCCCAGCUCAUUCACCUACUAUACAACGCUCUAAGCCAAGUUACAUAACCCUGCUAUGCCUCAGUUCCCUCACUUGAAAAAUGGAAAUGAUAACAGUACCAACCUCAUAGGACUGCCAAAAGGAUUAAAUGAGAUGAUAUAUGAAAAGUGAAUAGAACAGGGCCUGGUAUGGAAUAAGUGCUAUAUAAAUGCUUGCUGCUAUUAUAUGACAGUGAUGAUGAUGAUUGUUACCCUGAGGGGGUCAGCAGCCCUAGUGUCUCUGCCGGGGAUUCCAUUCUGCUGCUCUUCCAGGGUAUCCUCCUGCUUUCCAUCUCCUGCGCCCACUCUGCAUCAGGUACUAGGCUAGCAGCCUUACCAGCUUCUGCACAUCUCUCAUGUCUCCACUUGGCUCUGACAUACCAUAUAUUUCAUUUGAUAUUAUUUACAUUGUUUCCAUUUAUUCUGUAUAUUGUCUGUCUUCACCCCUCCUCUCCAUCUACCAGAAUGUAAGCUCCAUGAGGGCAAGGAUUUUCACCUGCUGUAUUCACUGCUGUGUCCCCAGCACCUACAACAGUGCCUGGCAUGUGGUAGCUGGUCAAGGAAUAUUCAUGAAUGAAUGAAAUUAGUAUUUUUAAUGUAAUAUUUAUAUAGCAUUUACUAUGUGCCAGGCACCAAUAUAAGCACUUUGUAAAUAUUAACUCAAUCUUCAUAGCAGUUCUAUGAGAUAGGUAACUGUUAUUGUCCUCAUUUUACAGAGGAGGAAACUGAGACAAAGGUAUUAGGUGCCCAGGUUUGCGCACUAGUGCAUGAGAGAGUCAAGAUUUGAAGCCAGAGAGUGGAGGUCUAGGUUCUGUGCUCUUAUCCACUCCACUAUGAUCCAAGGAAGAUGCGGGCCAGGGGAGGUUCCUUGGGUUCCAUCUACCUUUGGGAACUUGCUGCCACCUACAGAUGCCCUGUUUUAGAUCAUCUGUAGGGAGAGGGGGGCUGACUUUGCCUGCAAGACUGAGCCUUCUCCACUCCUCUGUCACAAGGUCUCUCUUCCACACCUGCUGGGUGGGGCUGACUGCUGGGGAGGUUGUUUGUCCUCUUCCAUCUCCCUGUUUGCUGUGUCCCCAGGAGCCAAAGAUAUCCAUGCCUGUUUCACAUAAAGGGCUUCUGUUUAUCCUACCAAUGUCUCUGAGGCUGUUUUUGUGCCAAGGCCCCCAGAGAUGAAGCCCCCACAGCUCUCUCUUCAUGAGUGUGUUUGUGGUCUGACCUUGACCACUCCCUAGAGUUCCAUCUGAGAACCUCUCUUCAGAUGCUACACACACUCUUGUGGCUUUAACUGGCAUGGAUAUGCUGGCUCCCCGAUCCAUGUCUCCAGCCCCAAAUUUUCUCCUGAGUGCCAGAUCUCUGAAUCCACUUCUAGAGGUCCCCUCCAGAACAUCCCCUCCUGGAUUUAAGGAACAUAGAUACCUUAAAUUCAAUGUGUUCCAAACAGGAUGCAUUGUCUCCCCUUGGAAAUCUCCUAAACUAGCUUCUAUUCCUCCUGUUUCCUCUCCUUGUGGGUUACACAUGGUCACGUGUGCCAUAACCCUCGUCUUGAACUUCAUUCUAAAAGUGAUGGAUCACACAAUUUGUCAGGAUAAGCUCCCUAAAAAUACUAGAAGAAAAUAUGGGCAAAAAUCCUUUAUAACUCUAGGAGUGAGGAAGGCCUUUCCAACUCCAACUCAAAAUUUAGAAGCUAUAAAAGAUUAAUACAUUUGUUUACAUGGAAAAAAUUCUGCAUGGCAAAAAAAAAAAAACCACAUCAAAGCAAAAUCAAAAGACAAUAAACUAGGAAAAGUAUUUGUAAUUCUUAUCAUAUACAACAGGUAACAUAUUUUUCUCUCUACUGUUUAAAGAGCUUCCACAUGUUGAUAAGAAAGCCCAACAGUUCAAUAAAAAAAUGGUCGAAGAACAUGACAGAUCACAAAAAAGAAAAUACAUAAGGCCUUAAACACAUGCAGAUGUUCAACUUCACACGUAAUGAGGGAAAUGAAAAGACAAUGAAAAACCAUUUUGUUCUUUUAUUGCAUUAGCAAUAACCCAUAUGUCUGACCAAAAAAACCAAAAAAAAAAAAAAAAACCCACAAAAACAAACAAAAACACUUUUUUGGCAAGACCGUGAGGAAACAGGGACUUUCACCCAUUGUGGGUAGGAAUGAAAAAUGAUACAACCCAGACAAUAUUUAUCAAAAUUCUAAAUGUACAUACACUUUGAACCAGCAUUCUCACUUUUGAAAAUCUAUCUGAAAAUCUACCUGUAUCGGUUAGCUAUUGCUUCUGAAGAAAUCACCUUAAUAUUUACUGGUAUCAAACAACAACGAUUUAUUGUUUCUCCAGAUUCUAAGGAUGGUCAGGUGGUUUUUCUGCUGAUCUUACCUUAGAUUACUCAAGUGGUGGCAGUCAGCUGACACCGCAGCUGGGGCUGGAUGGCCUGUGAUGGCUAUCACACUAGUCUGAGACCUUAGCUCUGAUGACUCGGUCAGCUGGGAUGGCUGAGCCACUCUCUCCUUGUGGUACUUCACCCUGAGUGUGUGUGUGUGUGUGUGUGUGUGUGUGUGUGUGUGUGUGUGUGUGUGUGUUCUAAGUAAGUUCUACACCCAACAUACAGCCUAAACUCACAACCCCGAGAUCAAGAGUUGCAUGUUCUACUGACUGAGCCAACCAGGUGCCCCCAUCUUGAGCUUCUUCAUAGCAUAGUGUCCUCAUGGUUCCAAAAGGGUGGGAAUAGAAGCUUCAGAGUCUCUUGAGGCCCAGUUCAGAAGUUGUGCAACAUUGUGGCAUAUCCAGUAAGUCCAAGCAAGUCACAAGUCCAUGCCAGCUGCAAAGGGGGGAGAAAUGGAAUUUUAUUUCACUAUAUCUACCAUGUAUGAAAUGACAUAUACGUCAGUGUUAUUCAUUGGAUAUUGUUUGCAGGUUUGUCCAUCAGUGGGUAAGCAGCUGUCAAAAAGGAUGAGGAUGCUCAUUAUGUUAGUCAGAUAUCAAGGUGUAGAAUGAGAAUAUCAUGCUAACGUGGUAUAAGAAAAAAAUGUGUGUGUGCAUGUAUGUGUGUGUAUGUGUGUGUAUACUUAUAUCCUCAGAGAAAUCCUGGAAAGCUACAUAAGAAACUAAUAAAAGUUGUUCCCUACGGAUGUUUCUUGAGAACAAGGUGGUAAGCACUAAUGUCAAGAGUAAGAAUUUUCACUGUAAACCUUUUAUAUUAUUUAGAUUUUUUGAACCAUAUGGAAGUAUUACCUAUUUUAAAUAAUUGUAUCAAAGAAAGAAGGUACCUUUGAAUAAUUUCAAAUGAAGGAAUAUAUCUGUCUUAGCUUGGGCUGAUCUAACAAAACACCAUAGACUGGCCAGCUUAAACAAUAGACAUUUAUUUCUCACAUUUCUGGAGGCUGGAAGUGCAAGAUCAAGGUGCCAGCAGAUUUGGUUCUUGGUGAGGGGUCUCUUCCUGCCUCUCUCCAUCUUCAGCAUGGAAGAAAGAAGAAGCUCUGGUGUCUCUUCCUUUUCUUAAAAGGGCGCUAAUCCGAUCAGGGUCUCUACCCUUGUGACCUUAUCUGAACCUGAUUACCUCCCAAAGGCCCCACCUCCUGAUACCAUUACAGUGGAGGUUAUGGCUUCAACAAAUGAACGCGGUGGGGGGGGGGGGGAAUGCAGACAUUCAGCCCAUAACAGAAUACUCUGAUCAAACUUUCAUUUUACAAGGGUCCUGCUGGUGGCCACCACAGAUGGCUGUGCCUGUGGGCACUAUGGGAGCUAUCACAUGAGAGAGGCACCAACCACAUCGUAGAUAUCAAUGUUUAUUACAGUUGUCUGACAGAUGGAAGUAGAGUGUCAUGAGGAAGGCAAACCUGUUUCUAUUUGCACACAGGUGCAGUAAGGGUUGGCAAUAGUCCUGGUUACGUGAAGGUUGAUUGGGAAAUCAGGAAUCACCUCAGGCCAAAAAUAACGAGGCCUGGAAGUGGGGAUGGAACCUCCGUUAACAGAGUCUAUCAGACAUGGUUGCAGAUUGGGAAAAUUGGUGAGGGAGUAGGAGGGUCCUAGAUCACUUCUGGAUAUCUGGCUCUUGCUGUAUGUGGAGACAAGUUUUCUGGAAUAAGAGAAAGUAUUUCAAAUAAAUUACCUUUAUAAAUCACAGCAAUAGACUAUUAGAAAAUGUAAAAGCACCAUUUAUAGAAAUAUAUAGUGCCUAAGUAAACCUUUUUAAAAUAUGUUAAUAUCUUUUGUGACAGAACAUUUAAAAUUUUAUCAGAUUUUAAAGAAAUCCAAAACCGAUGGAUAGAUAUACCAUGUAAAUGAAUAGGAAGACUCAAUACUGUAAUGACAUCAGUUCUUCCAAAAUAUAUCUACAAAGUCAGCACCAUGAUCCAGUGUCUCUGCUGCAUGACGUUGACUCUGGUUUUGAAGGACAGAAGGGCUGGUGUGACUCAGUGGGGAGCCAGAUACCAAUUGGCUAAGAGAAUGUUUCGAUAGUCAAAAAUUUCUUCCUGGAUUGGAUCCCAGCUCUUGCCUUGAAUAAAUUACUUAAACUCUU
Long non-coding RNA from Acinonyx jubatus (cheetah), 6830 nucleotides. RefSeq lists it as uncharacterized. NCBI's taxonomy places the organism in Eukaryota, Metazoa, Chordata, Mammalia, Carnivora, Felidae. The transcript has 2 exons. The record is from RefSeq and is a predicted model, not a curated record.